This 433-nucleotide ribosomal RNA is filed under the name uncultured bacterium. RNAcentral's name for it is "partial 16S ribosomal RNA". It matches the Rfam family "Bacterial small subunit ribosomal RNA", at positions 29 to 507 of the family's 1533-position model. The record is from RNAcentral.
AGCGAACGCUGGCGGCAGGCCUAACACAUGCAAGUCGAACGAACUCUUCGGAGUUAGUGGCGGACGGGUGCGUAACACGUGGUAACGUGCCUUUUGGUUCGGAAUAACUCAGGGAAACUUGUGCUAAUACCGAAUGUGCCCUUCGGGGGAAAGAUUUAUCGCCAUUAGAGCGGCCCGCGUCUGAUUAGCUAGUUGGUGAGGUAACGGCUCACCAAGGCGACGAUCAGUAGCUGGUCUGAGAGGAUGAACAGCCACACUGGGACUGAGACACGGCCCAGACUCCUACGGGAGGCAGCAGUGGGGAAUCUUGCGCAAUGGGCGAAAGCCUGACGCAGCCAUGCCGCGUGAAUGAUGAAGGUCUUAGGAUUGUAAAAUUCUUUCGCCGGGGACGAUAAUGACGGUACCCGGAGAAGAAGCCCCGGCUAACUUCGUG